UUUUUUUUUUUGUUGAUUUUUAUUUAUUUGUUGCUUCCUGUUUGAUAUUUGUAUGUUUUUUGUUUUGUGGUUUUAAUUAGACCAGAAAGGCUUGAAUAAUUAUAGAACGGUUUGCAAUUUUUUAUUUAGAAGAAAUUAAUACAUGCUUAUUUGAGAUAGGCAUUGAAAAUGUUUCUCUUUGCAAAAAUAUUUUAUAAAUAAAUCUAUUGUCAUAUGCAUGGUUGGUAUAUAUUAUAAUUUGAUUUCUUUAGUAAAGAUCUUUUUUUAGUAAAAUGAUAUUGUAUGUUCACAUGUUUGCUUCUAGAAUGAUAUUUGGGAUUUUUACUAAAAGCAAUGUACUUUGACUAUUUGAAUAUAUAGUCGUUGCUUUAUGUUGAAGAAAUCCAAGUUCAUAUACUAACUUUCUUAAUCAUAUAUCUUUAGUUUUUUUUAUUCUUUAUUAAAGCCAUAUAUUUUGAUUCUAUGGAUGAUAAAGUAAUAUAUUAUUAUUUCUUACUACCUCAAGAGAUAAUUCCUCUAGCUAAUAAGAAGAAAAAUCUAAAAGUGGAAGGACAUGUGUCUUUGUUACUUAUCUAGUGAGUAUCAAAAUAACCAUAUAAAAUAUCACCUUGAGGUAAGUGUUGAUAUUUUAUUCCAAAAUUUAAUGUGCCUUUUAUAUAUCUCAUAAUUCUUUUUAAAGUUUGAAUGUGUGUAAAUCCUAAUUUAGAAAGAUAUUGUAGUAAAUUGCCUAGAAUAUAAGCACAAUCUGGUCUGGAAUUAACAAUAGCAUACAUCAAAUUACCAAAAACUUGAGAAUAUGGAUAAUCUAAUGAAGUAAUAUAGUCUUCAUUAGUUGAACAAAUUCCUAGUUGAUUUGGGAUAUAUAAUAGGUUAGAUUCAACAUAUUGAAUUCAUUAGGUUUAUUUGUUAAAUAUUUUGCUUCAUGAAGGAUUAUCCAUCUUUCUUCUCUAUUUUUUAGGAUAGCAUUGCCUAAAAUGUAAUGGAUUUCUUCUUCAUCUAACAUGUUAUAUUCUUGUUUUAGAAUGCUUUUUACUUGUUGAAUUCAGAAAAUCUUGUUGGUGAUAAUGAUACAAUCAUCAAUUUAGGCUAUAAUUAUGAUAAAAUCCUUUUCAUUUUUUCUUUUGAUGUAUAUGUUUGCAUCUGAUUUUAGAUGUUGAUAUUUGUGAAGAAGUAAAUAUUGAUCUUAUCUUUGAUACCAUACUAUAAAAGAUUGUUUAAGACUAUAUAGGAAUUUAUUUAACUUAUAUAUAUUAUUAAUAUGUAUAAGAGGUAAUCCUUCAAAAAUACUCAGAUAGAUGUCUUCUUCAAUAAAACCAUUUUAAAAAGGAAUUUUAAGAUCUAAUUGAUGUAUUUCUAAAUUAUUUUAAGUCUCUUAGGCAAGAAGAACUUUGAUAGAGUUAAAUUUGACUACAAGAGAGUAUGUCACUAUGUAAUUUAUACCUUAAAUUUGGAUGAAAUCUCUUGCAACUAUCUUUGCUUUAUAUUUGUCAAUACUUCCAUGAGCUUUAGUUUUUAUUUUUAAAAUCCACAUUGAAUUGAUUGGUUUUUUUUAUUAGGAGGUAAAUUCGUCAUUGUCCAUGUAUUAUUCUUAUUUAAGGGUGUAAUUUUAAUAUUAAUUAUUUUUUGCCAUUCUUGAGCAUCAGCCCUCUCUAUUGCUUCUUGAAUGGAGUUUGGAACUUCUAUGGUGGUAGAAACAAGGUAGGCUUGGUAACGUUGAUUACAAUGGCGUUUAUAUUUUUUUCUUCUUUGUGUAGACUCUAACAAUCUUGUAGUUGGUUUAAUAAUUUUUGUUGGUCAAGAUCUAGAAGGAAGUCUUGGAUCUUGUAAUAUGGAAUGGACUACAUCAUAUUCAAGGAAUAAGAUCUCUUGAUCAUUUUGUAAUGAUUUUUGAGAAAAGACUUCAAUAAUAUCAAUAUAAGAAGGAAGUUGGUUUUCCAAAUUUUGAAAAGCACCAUAUAUUUAUUGAUUAAAUACAUAUGGCUCUUGUGGUAGUGGCUUUGGUGGUGUAGUCAUUCCUUGAAUAUGAAGUGUGGUGUGCUCAUUGGACCUUAUAGUUGUUGAAGGUUGCUUAAAUAAUUCUAAAUCUAUUAAAAGUUUUUUAUUAUUUUUUUGUAAAUAUAUUAAUUUUUGAUCAUAUAGAUUCUCAUUGAAGAGAACAUUUUUUAAAAUGAGAAUUUACUGAUUUUGUAUAUUCAUAAGUCUAUAGGCUUUAGAUUUUUUAUUAUAUCCUAAAAAGAUAGCCUGUUGUGAAUGAGAAUCUAAUUUCUUUCUUAUUUCUUUAGAAAUGAAUAUAUGAGCUUUGCAACAAAAUAUUUUAAGAUAGGAUAAAUUUGAUUGUCUUUUGUAUCACAAUUCAAAUGGUAUUUUGGUACUUUGUACAAAUUUUUUAAGGCUCUUAUUUUAGAGGUAAUUAGCUAUUUGGAGUACUUCACCUAAAAAAAAAUUAGGUAAGUUUGAAUAGGAUAGCAUUGCAAGAACUAUCUAUAUUAUUGUUCUAUUUUUUCUUUUAAAAAUAUCAUUUUGUUGUAGUAUAUAAGAAAUAGUAUAUUCUUAUUUUAUUAUUUUUUUGUUAUUUAAAUCUUUAAAUUUAUUUGAUUUAUAUUCACUUCCACAAUCAAAUCUUAAAAUUUUGAUUUUGAAACUUGUUUGUUUUUUCACAAAUUUUUUGUAUAAGAUGAAUUUUUCAAAUCCUUCAAAUUUUAGUUUCAUCAAAUAUAUAUGGCAAUAUCUUAUUAGAUCAUCAAUAAAUGUGAUGAAAUAAAUACAUUUUUAAUAUGUGCCUAUUUAUAUCAGACCACAAAUAUCAAAAUAUAGAAGUUCUAACAAUUAAGUAGCUCUUUGUACACCUUUUGUAGGAAACUUCUUCUUAUAUUAUUUAUCUUCUAUAGAAGGUUGAUAUAAGAUAAUUUUUUUUUCAUCAAAGAGGUCAAUUUCCUUUGCCAUUGUUUGUAUUUUUUUAAAUCUUUGCAAAUUUAUGUGUCUUAGUCUUAAAUGCCACAAAUCAACUUUAUUUAAUUAUGUUGUUACUGGAAUAGAAAUUUGAAACUUAUUUAAAAGUAUUGUUGCAUAUAAUUCAUAUAAAUCAAGGUUUAAUUUGUAUAUUGCAAUAGUUUGAUCAAAUUUAUUUAUAAGUAUAGUUGCUCCAACUCUUAUGUAAAUUUCUCUUCCUACCUUAUCCAAUUAUUUGGCAAAAAAUAAAUCCUUUGCAAGUCCUAGUAUAUGUAAUAUAUCAGGUAUGAUUUUUUCAUUGCCAUUUGUAAGUUUGAUAUUUACAUCACUACAUCCUUCUAUUAUUUAUGAUAUAGUAUUGUCUCCUAAAUAGACAACUUAAUUGACUUCACUUUUGAUGUAUUUGACAAAUCAUUCUAGCUCAUGACACAUAUGUUGAGUUGCUCUUGAGUCUAUAUACCACAUUGAAUUUGAAUUUUCUUUAAUUAUAAGUGCUGCUAUAUAUAAUUUAUUUGAUUUUGUAAUAAUAUUUUUUUCUUUUUUGUUAUUAUAAUUUUUAGUUACUAUUCUUGUUUUGCAAUCUUUGAUGAAGUUACCAGGUUUUUUUGUAGAAAAAACACUUCUUGUCAAUAGCAAAAUUACUUUUUUUAUGUGCUUAGAAGUAAUACUCUUUCUUUGUAGAUUAUUUUUAAAAUUCUUAUUAAAAUAAGAUUUCUUAUUAUUAUUCUAAAAUUUCUUACCUACAUAUAGGAUUGAAUUAUUAUCAAAUAUUAAACUCAUGUUUUUCAUGAGUAUUUCUUCCAAGAACAAAUUUUUUCUCAAAGAUACUAAUGUAAUCCCAAACUGUCUUCUUAAAGAGCUAAUGAAGGAUCUAUAAUUUAGAGGCAAACUUCUCAUUAAGGUUAGAAUUGCUUCAUCAUCUAGAACUAUUGAUUAUGUUACUAACAAUUGUUCCAUAUGUACUCUAAAGGUAUAUAUGGGUUUAACACUAUCACCUUCUCUUAUUUUUAAGGUGUAUAAUUUGUCUUUUAAACACAUCUUAGUUAUUGCACAUGUGAAACAAUGUUAUUUUCUAGACAAUUGUUGAUUAUGGUAAAAGAUAAGGUAUCUUUGUUUACUCGUGUGCUUAUACUCCCUACUCCUAUGGCAAGUAAAGCUGAGAUUCUGGCAACAAUUUCAGUUAUUAUUGGUUCUAUUAAUAAGCAUUUUUUACCACUUACUAUAGAUCAUAACUUUUUAGCUUUAAAAACUAGUAUUAAUCUAUAUUUCCAUGUAUUAAAUUAUGAACCAUUGAAUUUCAGAACAUGAUUGAUUCCACUUUUUGUAUCAUCUUCAAUAUUCUUAAUUUGAAGUUGAAUUAAAAUUAUUUAUAAAUUUAUUCUUGAUCAAUUCAAUUUUACCUUUAUUUAUGGUUAUUUUUUGCUAUUUGUAGAUUUAAAAUUGCUUCUCAUGGUUUGAAGAACUUCAAACUCUUCUUCAAUCUUUUCCAUUAGAAUAGAUUGUUUUAUUGUUAUUAUUAUAACCUUAUUUGUAAUUUCAGCAAUUCUUUUCUAGAUUGAAACAUUCAUCUAUUCUUAUAGUUUUAUAAGGAUCAAAUAUAUCUAUAGCUUUGAUACCAUGUUGGAAACAUUAUUAUAUUUUAAUAUAAUCAAUCUUACACAAUAUAUUGUGUAUACAAGAGUGACACCAAGAGUCACAACUCUUGGUGUAAGAUCAACAAGAAUAGAUAGUAUUCUAUACAUGAGACUAGUGUACUAUAUGGAAUAAUUCUCCCAAUACAUCUCACCACCAAAUAUACUACCAAAUAUACUGCGUUUCAGGGCAAGUAUAUUAACAAAAACCUGAAACAAAACCAAUACGCAAUUGAAGGAAUUCAUCAAUGAUGUUCACCCCUUUGACUGCCGCGGAUCUAAGUUCAUGUUCUCCAAUUGGCACAGCAAGUCAUCCUACAGCAUCGUGUUGAGGAAACGUUGUUAAGGUGGUCCAUAUUGAAAUUGUCCCACGCGUUUGUCAAUGAUCGUGUACAUUUCUUGCAACUGACGAGCAUUUUAUAAUGGUAAGAUAGCGACGACAGUGCUAACAGAAGAAUUUGAAUAGUCUGGUAAAAGGAGAAGUGAGCACAAGUAAUCACAUACUGAUGUCAGUUGUCUCUGGCAAGCUCGGCAUUGCUAAACCUAUGGAGCUUCGCUAAGAGGAUUUAGUAGUUCUAUUUUUUGCAAGUACAUUCUUCUAGUGACUUUUCAGGGCAAGUUGCGGUAUAAAUGUUCUAGACUUAGUAAAGUUUAUUUUUUUCUUUUGAAAGUUGAAAGUCUGUGAGGUUACUUCUCUCUUUGCAGCGAGUAUUUUCAUUAUAUUUUCUUUCAUUGUGUUUAGCGGAUCAUUGGAAUACGUUGUAACUUGUAAAACUUGGAAGAAUUAUUGCAAACUUAAUUUCUCAUCAUCUGCAAAGUUGCAUGGCACAUCUUUGAAGUUUGUGUGUUCUGGCUUGUAAGGUGGGCAUUGCCCAUCAAGCGUGCUAGGGUUGAGUUAUAAGAUUGCGACGUGUUGAAUUGAAGACAUGAGAGACUGGUACAGAAUACUCUCCAGAAACCAACAGAUACGAACCUCACAUUGCUUGCCUUCUUUGGUUGUCGGUACAAUAGGAGUACAUUACAAUAGUCCAAAGUACAUCACCUUUAGGUACUUCCGGAGGUCAUCACACCUUUCUCAACCUUUGUGUGCCGGGGUGGAUUCUUUCAAAUCACAAGGUAUUGAAAGCCUUGUCAACUUUUAACCAGAUUGUAACAAUCUCCCUCUAGCUUAGAACAAGGACUUCAAGCCAUCAAAUUUGACGUUCAUAGGGACGAAGGCAGUUAUCCGAGAAAACGUCUUUGUAUGAAGUUUUAACUGAUAUAGUGCUCAGCAAUGUGAGUAUUAAUGAGACAUUCAAUCGCCGCCUAUAAAAAUUGUACAUGUAACAGUGAUCUUUGUUUCUGUUUCGGAGUCAUAAUUUUUAUUCAGCACGCUUGUAUAAUUGGAUUCAAUCUUGUGAACGAUUAUUCUUCGCGAUGUGCACUGUGAUCCAUCAUCCUUAGCCUCUUCCGUGGUCACAUCAACGACUGUUGCAGCAACGAACACCCUAAUAAUGAUGGUUUCACAAACUUUGAAGAACUGGGUCACUGAAUCAUAUCAAUUCGAGAUGGAAAAUUCAAGCCAGCCCUGACGAUUAUUGCCCAAGGUUUUAAGCACGAGCACAUCUAGAAGCAACGCAGUUUUCCUUAACGUCCACUGUUUAUAGCGUACUUUAUUGCUCCUCAUGAAUCAAUAAUUGCAACCUAAAUGACACAUUACACUUAAGAAGAAGCAGCUGGGUACUAACUGGCACAAAAUCUAGCGUCCAGUACUCUUCUGGACUUAUUUCUUUUUCAUAUGAAGAUGUCAAUCAUCACUGAAAAACUUCCUAGAAACAAACUGAUAUCUCAAGUCACGGAAAAAAUAAACAACUUGCUCGCUCGAGUCGAUCAUCAAGUUCUUGUGUACAAAUCCUCUGUCCAUCCGGCUAACCUCAUUGUUCAUUAAACAAUUUUGCUGCAAGAAAGACAGACAAAUUAUGUCAAUUAAAUUCAUUGUCACACUGAGCAAUGCGGUUUGCCUUCCCUGCUGAAGCUUUAAAAC
Molecule: long non-coding RNA, 6603 nt
Filed under: Physcomitrium patens
Lineage: Eukaryota; Viridiplantae; Streptophyta; Bryopsida; Funariales; Funariaceae
Description: long non-coding RNA (PPAT_LNC009520)
Source: RNAcentral